RNAcentral lists this ribosomal RNA (408 nucleotides) under Hypogastrura sp. 7 CADH-2011. RNAcentral describes it as "partial 28S ribosomal RNA". The record is from RNAcentral. Lineage: Eukaryota; Metazoa; Arthropoda; Collembola; Poduromorpha; Hypogastruridae.
CCUCUCGGGGGUAAGCGGGCAGAACUUGCAAGUAUUAACAAGAGAUUCAGACUUGAUACUGGAGGCUGAGUAUAUUUGUUAAGUUGUUCAUUCGUGGACUGACUGAUUUGUAUGCUUUGAUCUUUUAGUAGUGCGUCGCAUUUCUCUUUGUUAUCCGGGUUGCAUGCAACUGAGUUGAUAGUUUAGGUACUGGAGUACUGCAAAUCCUUGUUGGUUUGAGUUCUGGUUACCAACUAUUUAUGCGGUUGUUGAAAGCGAACAAGCGUUUGACGCGGUCAACUAUUUUCACGAGUCGUGUAUAUGUUAUAUAUGGACGAGUAAUCGUAAUAUGUAAUAUGUACUGGUUGUCAGUGUGAGUAUGUUGGCAUUGUUCAGUAUUGCAAUCUAAAGCAUGCGUGGUCUGCCUGU